Chelonoidis abingdonii (Abingdon island giant tortoise) is the source of this 173-nucleotide non-coding RNA. The record is from RefSeq and is a predicted model, not a curated record. Lineage: Eukaryota; Metazoa; Chordata; Testudines; Testudinidae.
UCUGGAAUUUGGUUCAAAGUAUUUCCAUGUUUCCCUGGCCUGUUCUUAAAAGUGCUGCUAUAGAAAGUGGGGAGGGGCAGGAACUCACUGCAGGAUCAGUAGCUGAGUCCCUUAGAUAUUUGUAGCUCAUCGGAAGGAGGACAGGGAUUGGUGGGGAUGAAAUCUGGGGACUU